AUUCUGGCUCAGGAUGAACGCUAGCGGCAGGCUUAAUACAUGCAAGUCGAGGGGCAGCACGAGGUAGCAAUACUUUGGUGGCGACCGGCAAACGGGUGCGGAACACGUACGCAACCUUCCCAUAACUGGUGAAUAGCCCUCCGAAAGGAGGAUUAAUACACCGUAACAUAAUGAAGUGGCAUCACUUUAUUAUUAUAGGCAGCAAUGUCGGUUUUGGAUGGGCGUGCGCCUGAUUAGGUAGUUGGCGGGGUAACGGCCCACCAAGCCUGCGAUCAGUAACUGGUGUGAGAGCACGACCAGUCACACGGGCACUGAGACACGGGCCCGACUCCUACGGGAGGCAGCAGUAAGGAAUAUUGGUCAAUGGACGAAAGUCUGAACCAGCCAUGCCGCGUGAAGGAUGAAGGCCCUCUGGGUUGUAAACUUCUUUUAUAGGGGACGAAAAAAGCUCAUUCUUGAGCACUUGACGGUACCCUAGGAAUAAGCACCGGCUAACUCCGUGCCAGCAGCCGCGGUAAUACGGAGGGUGCAAGCGUUAUCCGGAUUUACUGGGUUUAAAGGGUGCGUAGGUGGGUCUGUAAGUCAGUGGUGAAAUCUCCGGGCUUAACCCGGAAACUGCCAUUGAUACUAUAGGUCUUGAAUAUCCUGGAGGUGAGCGGAAUAUGUCAUGUAGCGGUGAAAUGCUUAGAUAUGACAUAGAACACCAAUUGCGAAGGCAGCUCACUACGGGAUUAUUAACACUGAGGCACGAAAGCGUGGGGAUCAAACAGGAUUAGAUACCCUGGUAGUCCACGCCCUAAACUAUGGAUACUCGACAUCAGCGAUACACUGUUGGUGUCUGAGCGAAAGCAUUAAGUAUCCCACCUGGGAAGUACGAUCGCA
This 882-nucleotide ribosomal RNA is filed under the name uncultured bacterium. RNAcentral's name for it is "bacterial SSU rRNA". It matches the Rfam family "Bacterial small subunit ribosomal RNA", at positions 16 to 890 of the family's 1533-position model. The record is from RNAcentral.